AGGCACUCACCGCCUGCCACAAUCAUCGGU
RNAcentral lists this ribosomal RNA (30 nucleotides) under Vaceletia sp. QMG318578. Its description in RNAcentral is "partial 28S ribosomal RNA". The record is from RNAcentral. Lineage: Eukaryota; Metazoa; Porifera; Demospongiae; Dictyoceratida; Verticillitidae.